GGGAUCGUUCCUUCGACGUGUUUCGGUUAAUUACUCCUGUUCUUUCUUUUGGAUUUCCAAUCUUUACUCGUGCGUUACUUACAAAAAAUCGCAACGCAAUUAAUGUGAGUAUACUUAACCCCAUAUUUAUUUUGUCACUUUUGGGUGCAGCAUGUAUUCUAUACAAAAACACACAACGCUUGAAACUUGUUAUAUGUACACUCUAUUCAUUUUUAGACAUGAAACAAUUUGAUGCUUGUUAAUCUCGUAUGCUAUGUAAACUUUUCGUGUCUAUGUGCUCAUUAACCUGGUUGAUAGACAAGAUGAUGAAGAAGUAAGUUAGG
This 323-nucleotide long non-coding RNA is filed under the name Helianthus annuus (common sunflower). Its description in RNAcentral is "hypothetical non coding rna". Lineage: Eukaryota; Viridiplantae; Streptophyta; Magnoliopsida; Asterales; Asteraceae. The record is from RNAcentral.